Molecule: ribosomal RNA, 497 nt
Filed under: uncultured bacterium
Lineage: Bacteria
Description: partial 16S ribosomal RNA
Rfam family: Bacterial small subunit ribosomal RNA
Source: RNAcentral
GAUGAACGCUGGCGGCGUGCCUAAUACAUGCAAGUCGAGCGAACAGAUGAGGAGCUUGCUCCUCUGACGUUAGCGGCGGACGGGUGAGUAACGCGUGGAUAACCUACCUAUAAGACUGGGAUAACUUCGGGAAACCGGAGCUAAUACCGGAUAAUAUAUUGAACCGCAUGGUUCAAUAGUGAAAGACGGUUUUGCUGUCACUUAUAGAUGGAUCCGCGCCGCAUUAGCUAGUUGGUAAGGUAACGGCUUACCAAGGCAACGAUGCGUAGCCGACCUGAGAGGGUGAUCGGCCACACUGGAACUGAGACACGGUCCAGACUCCUACGGGAGGCAGCAGUAGGGAAUCUUCCGCAAUGGGCGAAAGCCUGACGGAGCAACGCCGCGUGAGUGAUGAAGGUCUUCGGAUCGUAAAACUCUGUUAUUAGGGAAGAACAAAUGUGUAAGUAACUAUGCAUGUCUUGACGGUACCUAAUCAGAAAGCCACGGCUAACUACGUG